AAGGCCUCUAUGGCCUUCUCAUGAGCCUUAUUGGCCUUUUCUGUCUCUCUAAGCUUUGGCUCCUGUUCUUUAUUCUUCUUGGCGAUAGUAUGCAGAUCAAAAAUCAUCUUCUCCUGUUCAUUGAUCUUUCAUUGAAGAUCCAGUAGGAUUUGAUUCUUCUCCUUCAGUGCCUUCUACUUUUCUUCAGGUUGAUGUUUGAGUCUUACAGCG
RNAcentral lists this long non-coding RNA (210 nucleotides) under Elaeis guineensis (African oil palm). RNAcentral's name for it is "long non-coding RNA (EGUI_LNC025681)". Lineage: Eukaryota; Viridiplantae; Streptophyta; Magnoliopsida; Arecales; Arecaceae. The record is from RNAcentral.